RNAcentral lists this long non-coding RNA (210 nucleotides) under Malus domestica (apple). RNAcentral's name for it is "long non-coding RNA (MDOM_LNC009245)". The record is from RNAcentral. Lineage: Eukaryota; Viridiplantae; Streptophyta; Magnoliopsida; Rosales; Rosaceae.
UUAUACAUUUAGGCACUAAUAGUGGCCUUCCAUCAAAUGAAGCCAUAUUAUUAGUUCUUAACAAAAUAAGAAAGUUUAAAGACAAUCUUUAAAUGCCUAACAAACUUCCUAAGUAGUAAGCAAAAAACAUGGUGGCCAAACUCUUCUCCACACUUUUCCUUGCUUGUUCCUCUUCUACUUGGCUCCUCCACCUAUAUACAAUUAUACAAG